GCACUUUGUAGUGCAGAGGAGUGGAGUGUAAAGCACUUCACCCUGCCCUCCUCCUGGGAGCAGGGAAUGAAUUAUUAACAGGGUUUAUCGCCUCUGUUUCCUCAUCCCAGGCUACAAACCCUCACAGAGAAACGGAAAUGGAACCGGAGCUGUGGCUCCUCUCACCAAACACAGCAGUUACAGCAGGAAAAAAAUAUUGAUCAGGAGAUUUUUACCUCAGGAAAAGCCUCAGGAGAAAAUGGGCUCCAGCUGAGUCUGUGUCCAAGAUGCUGCUGGGCUCUUUUGGGAGGCAGAUCCCAAACCAGCAUCUCCCUGCAAUGUUUUGGGGAGAAAUCACAGGCAUUUGGGAAGCUGAGCAUCCACCUCCUCCCUCUAGGACUAAAAUCCUUUGGGGUUUCCCUGAAACCUCUCCUGGAAACUAACCCAAGCACAAAGCAAGCCUUACUCCAAGGCAGAAGGGAAAAGAAAGGACACGAUUCCCUGUGGGAGCAGCAGCAAGGGCAGGAGGCACAGAGGGGAAAAGUGACAGCAGAGGUUUGAAGCUGGGAAUCUGCUUACAAACCUCGUGGAUCCUUUUGGGUUUUCCACCUCAGCCUCCUGCACAGGAGAGGGACCAGGAGCAUCCUGGCACUCCCCUAAAGGUUCUGGGCUCUGGAUCCCCGGGCAGGGAUGGGUUUGCAAUCCCAGUUUGGCUCAGCUGCUGCUGCCAUUGCCCACAAACACCCACACAGGCAGCAGCCCCAGGGAUGGGAUGGGAUGGGAUGGGUGGGAUGUCCCUGGAAGCCACUCAGGGUCCAGCUCCUCCCAGGGACUCUCCUGGCCCAGCCAUGAGCUCACCAGGGACACGAUGGGGUUUAUUUAGCUCCAGGCACUGCCAUCCCUGAGGAGUUUCCAGCAUCCAGACCUGGGAAUGAAUCCCAGGAGAUUCCUGGUUUUGGGGAGCAGCACCAGCCCCAUCCUGGGCCCCUCUCCCAGCCCCAGCAAAGAGGCACCGAGACACUCCCAAGUUAAACUCUCCAUUUAUUGGAACCUUUUACAAAAAACUCAACAUUGUGCUCGUGUCGAAGGAGUGUUCCUUGUCUCUCAGUUCCUGUUGGAUUUGAAAUCCUGGUGCUCACAGCACCGAGGGCACAAGGGGAGGGAGUGACACGGGCAGGGUGGGGCCGUGUCACCUCAGUCGUUGCUAUUUACAGUGGGAAAGGCCUCGCUCCGUGCCCGGGGGAAGCAGCAGGAACUCUGGAACAGGGAAAAGGUGCAGCUGCCGAGAGCCCUUCCCAUCUCCUCAGGGCUGGGGCGGUGGAGCUGGGAUGGAUCACACAACCAAACCUGAGCUUCGGAGUGCCCCAGGGAUGCCCUGAAAAUCCCGGGAGAACGAUGGGUGGUGGCAAGGAAGGCUGUUGGGGUGGCAGCACGGGCAGGAGCACUCUCUGGAAAAGCCCCCUCCUCCUCUGGAGGGGCUCAGGACAGCUCAGGUGCUGGCAUGUCUGAGGAGCAGCAAGCUGGGCUGUCAAUCCCAAUCCUGCACUCCAGGGGUUCGGUGGUGUUUGGGGUGAUUUGGGAAAGAGCUGCAGCAGUAGGACCGGGAGGGGCAGCACAGCCCUGUGGGUGGGUGGGGAAGGUGUUCCUGCUGGCAUUUCAUUUCCCCACAGAAUUCCAUCCCUCCCAAUGCUGCUGCUGCCCAGGUAUCUCCCAGGAAAAGCCUCUUUACCCCUUCACCCCCAAAUCUUUCCCCUUUAGGGGUGCUCAGCAAGGAGGAAUUCAUCCCACGACACGCAGAGAGAUCCCCCUGCACAUCCUGUCCUUGCUCCAGCACAGUGGACAGGGGAACCCUCC
Non-coding RNA from Taeniopygia guttata (zebra finch), 1833 nucleotides. The record is from RefSeq and is a predicted model, not a curated record. Lineage: Eukaryota; Metazoa; Chordata; Aves; Passeriformes; Estrildidae.